This 492-nucleotide ribosomal RNA is filed under the name uncultured bacterium. RNAcentral's name for it is "partial 16S ribosomal RNA". It matches the Rfam family "Bacterial small subunit ribosomal RNA", at positions 29 to 507 of the family's 1533-position model. The record is from RNAcentral.
AGUGAACGCUGGCGGUAGGCCUAACACAUGCAAGUCGAACGGCAGCACAGUAAGAGCUUGCUCUUACGGGUGGCGAGUGGCGGACGGGUGAGGAAUACAUCGGAAUCUACUUUUUCGUGGGGGAUAACGUAGGGAAACUUACGCUAAUACCGCAUACGACCUACGGGUGAAAGCAGGGGAUCUUCGGACCUUGCGCGAUUGAAUGAGCCGAUGUCGGAUUAGCUAGUUGGCGGGGUAAAGGCCCACCAAGGCGACGAUCCGUAGCUGGUCUGAGAGGAUGAUCAGCCACACUGGACCUGAGACACGGUCCAGACUCCUACGGGAGGCAGCAGUGGGGAAUAUUGGACAAUGGGCGCAAGCCUGAUCCAGCCAUACCGCGUGGGUGAAGAAGGCCUUCGGGUUGUAAAGCCCUUUUGUUCGGAAAGAAAAACCGCACGUUAAAACCCCCCUGUUCUGACGGUACCCAAAGAAUAAGCACCGGCUAACUUCGUG